RNAcentral lists this long non-coding RNA (2495 nucleotides) under Erythranthe guttata (spotted monkey flower). Its description in RNAcentral is "long non-coding RNA (EGUT_LNC002574)". Lineage: Eukaryota; Viridiplantae; Streptophyta; Magnoliopsida; Lamiales; Phrymaceae. The record is from RNAcentral.
GUAUGGAAAACCCACAAUUAAAGAAAUGAAAUACGGCUAAUACCUGAGGUCGAAAGGCCGGUAUGGAAACCCCCGUAUUAUCUAUUGGCCAAAUUUGAUGAACAGGUUCCAAAAAUCAAAGUCUAUUGCUAUCAGUCAAGUACCACACUUCAAGGGUACCCGAUAAAGAGAAGGAUUUCAAAGAAAAGGAUCACGAAUGAAGUUAUAGAUGUGAUAUUGUACUUAUUGAAUGGAUAAUGUGUUAUGUGAUUGAUAUAUUGCUAUUACAUCAGUUUCAACUUGCUGAGCCAUUAGCUCAUUAGGUUCUUAUGAUGCAGGUAAUGAUGUACAUGUUUAGAAGUUGACCUAGCCAAGAGCGGCUAGUCAGAUAUUUGUUCAUAUGCCAUGCUUCGAGCCAUUUUUGUAGCCGAGCAGAAACUCUGAUUUCAUUUUGUUAGCCGCUCUAUUAUGGUUUUUGUACAAUGUAAUUUUGUAAACAAUGAAUAUAUAUAUGUACGGAUUUUGAGAAAGUACUAAGUUUGAUUUCUUUUCAAAGCAUAUAACGUAUUUUUGUAUUAAAACCAUAAUGUUUAAGUAUAUAUAUAAAAAGCUUAGCAUCCCUAACUUAAUGGCGGUGAUCCGAUUGGAUUCUGCUGUUAGGUUGUGCGGUGUUACAUUUUUGGUAUCAGAGCGGAGGUUUAAAAUCUUUUCUGAAGACAGAAGAAGGCAUAUGAACAUACUUUGGCUGGGAAGCUAGGUUAACUCUUUUCUUAUUUACCUAUGUGUUUAAUUUAUAUGUUGCAUAGCAAAUAUCCAGAAUUGUUCGGUACGUCAAAUUUCGAGGGCGAAAUUUUAUAAGGAGGGAAGAAUUGUAAUGCCCAACCAUCCAUACAUGGCCAAUAAUAAGCAUAUUGCAUCAAUGCAUAUAGUUAUAAUUCAUUAUUCAUGAUGCAUGAUCACGACUACUUGCUACACAUGUGCCUUAAUUGUGUUUUAAUACGUGAUCGAAUACUUUUCUUAAACUGUGAUAAUAUAUGAUACAUGUUAUUGAACUUCUACUUUAUGAUUUAACAUUAACUUAAAUGAUUUAUUGUAGUGAGAAGUUAAGUUUCUCGCUAAACGGUGAUAUAUUUGUCUUAGAUGCAUUUCUGCAUUUUAAUUAUGAUUAAUUACAUAUGUAAUUAUUUGAAGUAACUCAUACUAGACUAAAACCAAAAGUAUGCAAAAUGGUGCAUUUUGAUUGGUUGGUUGACUAGGUUGCACGAGACCAUUCUGAAAUUGUUUACACUUGAUUAUAAUGAGUAUGCAUCAGCCCAUUUCUUAUCUCAAGCUAUAAAAACGUGGAGGAACCACAAGAAUCCAGCAAAUACAAGCCUUCCAAUCACCAUCCUCCAUUUGGCCUUGUUGGGAAUGGGUAGAUAAGUGAAGACUUUGUGUUUUGGUCUUCAUUUUCACUUGUCUUCUUCCAAAAAUGACCAGACCUAUUUCCUUAAUUUUGUCUUCAUAUUUCUUCACUUCCAUACUCACAUAAGAGAGCAUCAAACCAUAAAAACUCAUAGAAGUAGAGCUAGAACAAGUUCUGCACCUUUUCUAGCUGAAAAUCCUAUGUUUUGAAGUUGAAUUCAUCUCUAAUCAAGGCUUCUAGCACACCUUAUCUAAAACUGAUCCUUUCAUUUCAUAAACCAUUAUUGAUCUUGAGGUAAGUUGAAGCUUUCAUUUGCACAUCGUAAGAACCUAAUUAUGUGCGCUUUAAUGUGACUUUUGCUAUGUAUUCUCUAUAAUGUUUGAAUGAUUGAUGAGUCAUAGUGAUAUGAAAGAAUAUGUUUUGAAAAUGGGAGUAUGGUACUUGAUUGAUGGUCGAGUAGGCAAGGGACGCAGGAGGAACCGGCGGACCCAACACAUGGUGGCAAAUACCUGAGGUCGAAAGACCAGUAUGGAAAACCCACAAUUAAAGAAAUGAAAUACGGCUAAUACCUGAGGUCGAAAGGCCGGUAUGGAAACCCCCGUAUUAUCUAUUGGCCAAAUUUGAUGAACAGGUUCCGAAAAUCAAAGUCUAUUGCUAUCAGUCAAGUACCACACUUCAAGGGUACCCGAUAAAGAGAAGGAUUUCAAAGAAAAGGAUCACGAAUGAAGUUAUAGAUGUGAUAUUGUACUUAUUGAAUAGAUAAUGUGUUAUGUGAUUGAUAUAUUGCUAUUACAUCAGUUUCAACUUGCUGAGCCAUUAGCUCAUUAGGUUCUUAUGAUGCAGGUAAUGAUGUACAUGUUUAGAAGUUGACCUAGCCAAGAGCGGCCAGUCAGAUAUUUGUUCAUAUGCCAUGCUUCGAGCCAUUUUUGUAGCCGAGCAGAAACUCUGAUUUCAUUUUGUUAGCCGCUCUAUUAUGGUUUUUGUACAAUGUAAUUUUGUAAACAAUGAAUAUAUAUAUGUACGGAUUUUGAGAAAGUACAAAGUUUGAUUUCUUUUCAAAGCAUAUAACGUAUUUUUGUAUUAAAACCAUAAUGUUUAAGUAUAUAUAUAA